This 324-nucleotide ribosomal RNA is filed under the name Sarcoptes scabiei. RNAcentral's name for it is "partial small subunit 12S ribosomal RNA". Lineage: Eukaryota; Metazoa; Arthropoda; Arachnida; Sarcoptiformes; Sarcoptidae. The record is from RNAcentral.
ACUUUUUCUAGGAAUAAUCCAAAAUUUAUUUUUAUUAAAUUUUUACGUUUCACAUCCAUUUUUAAAAAUUUAUGAAAUUAAUUUUUCUAAUUUUUGUAACUCAUAUAAUCCUUUUUAUUAUCUUCACAUUGAUCUGAAUUAAAAAUAUUUUAUUUUUUGAGAAAAAAAAAUAAAUUUUUAUCUAACAACCGUACAAAAAAAUAAAAAAGGUAAAAUUAAAAGUGGGUUAUCUUUUUAAUUAUACAAGUUCCUGUGAAUAUAUAGAAAACCGCCAAAAAAAUUAAGUUUUGUUAUUAUAAUUUACUACUUUAAUACAACUAAAAA